UUGAAGUUGCCAAUGAAUAAAUAUAUAUAUAUCUAAUUGAUAGUGACAUAUCUAUGAAUGAACAUUCGCACAAUGUAGCUGUGAAACACAUGAUGAAGUGGCGGUUUUCCUUGAUGCUGGUUCGCAAACAAGAGGAUGUGGUAGGAUGUAUGCCAACUUUUCAAGUAAUGAUACUAUGAUUGGCGUAAACAUGGGCAAAGUACUAUGCUAUGAUGACGAUUCAAUAAAUACAGCUUUUGCGAGAGGACAGUGAAGAAAGAGGACCCCAAUUAGCACAACAGCAAGAAAAAAAAAAACCUGGAGCGAAUCCUCCAAAAAAAUGGGAUCGGGCAUGGUAGAGAGAAUUCGUCAUGAGUUGAAAACGAGGGGAUUCCAUGUCAAAACAAAAUACAUGUAUAACAAUUAAUGACACUUCCACUAUUUCCAUGUUACAAAGAUGGAUAUCCCUCCCCCAAAAACACCGUACGGUUUCUCCAUGGAUCAGUGAAUGUGGGCGGAGCUUAUCCAUGGUCACUGUUAUUUACCUGGCCAAGAGAUCAGUUGUGUAUAUUUUUUAUGAUAUACACAGAAGCUGACACAUAGCUAGUCUAUCCCCCCCUUCUCUCUCCCUUACUCUCAAUCAUGGACUAAAUGAGUAAUUAUUGUCAUACGUAUGCAACACUAUUGUCAUGCCAUAGUAUUUCAUCUAUAUUUAUAAUUGCUACAGUCUUACACACCCCCCCCCUCUCUCUCUCUCUUUAUAAAUAUAAAGCCGUGAUAAAUUACGAAUAGAAAUAUCUCAAUAACUUAUUUAUGCUCUUUUACUAUUGUUUGAUUUUUGAUUGUAUAAUUUAUAAUCCAUGUGGUAUCCCAAACAGAAGCAUUAUUUUUUUUUUACUACUGUAACAGUUUUACGCAUGAGCAAUAUAACCAUUACAUCUUGAUAUGCUGCGCCAAUAAAUAAUUGUUCCUUUUUUAUAAAUAUAAAGUCAUAAUAAAUCAUUAAUAGAAAAUAU
This is a long non-coding RNA of Ostrea edulis (European flat oyster), 995 nucleotides long. RefSeq lists it as uncharacterized. Lineage: Eukaryota; Metazoa; Mollusca; Bivalvia; Ostreida; Ostreidae. The record is from RefSeq and is a predicted model, not a curated record. The transcript has 2 exons.